RNAcentral lists this ribosomal RNA (274 nucleotides) under uncultured bacterium. RNAcentral describes it as "partial 16S ribosomal RNA". It matches the Rfam family "Bacterial small subunit ribosomal RNA", at positions 524 to 794 of the family's 1533-position model. The record is from RNAcentral.
UACGGAGGGUCCAAGCGUUAAUCGGAAUUACUGGGCGUAAAGCGUGCGCAGGCGGUUUGUUAAGCGAGAUGUGAAAGCCCCCGGGCUCAACCUGGGAAUUGCAUUUCGAACUGGCAAACUAGAGUCUUGUAGAGGGGGUAGAAUUCCAGGUGUAGCGGUGAAAUAGCGUAGAGAUCUGGAGGAAUACCGGUGGCGAAGGCGGCCCCCUCGGACAAAGAACUGACGCUCAGGCAUGAAAGCGUGGGGAGCAAACAGGAUUAGAUACCCCGGUAGU